Molecule: ribosomal RNA, 235 nt
Filed under: uncultured bacterium
Lineage: Bacteria
Description: partial 16S ribosomal RNA
Rfam family: Bacterial small subunit ribosomal RNA
Source: RNAcentral
UGAGGAACAUGACCUUCGGCGGGGGAUAGCCGGCCCAACGGCCGGGUAAUACCGCGUACGACCACAUGGGGACAUCCCUGAGUGGUGAAAGCAGCAAUGCGCCGAUGGAGUGCCUCGCGGCCUAUCAGCUAGUUGGUGAGGUAACGGCUCACCAAGGCGACGACGGGUAGCUGGUCUGAGAGGAUGGCCAGCCACAGUUGGGACUGAGACACGGCCCAGACCUGUACCGGGGAGG